RNAcentral lists this signal recognition particle RNA (85 nucleotides) under Pseudomonas mandelii. RNAcentral's name for it is "signal recognition particle sRNA small type". It matches the Rfam family "Bacterial small signal recognition particle RNA". Rfam says of the family: The signal recognition particle (SRP) is a universally conserved ribonucleoprotein involved in the co-translational targeting of proteins to membranes. Lineage: Bacteria; Pseudomonadati; Pseudomonadota; Gammaproteobacteria; Pseudomonadales; Pseudomonadaceae. RNAcentral also lists the same sequence under 4 other names. The record is from RNAcentral.
AUGGCCCCGCAACGAUUACCCGUGAACCUGGUCAGAUCCGGAAGGAAGCAGCCACAGCGGGAACAUUGUGUGCCGGGGUGUGGCU